GUUGACCCCAGAUGACUUUUAAAAUGUAUACAUCAUUGAAAAAGUUCCAAAUUAUCUCCCUUUGGUGGAAAAAUGCCAUUUUUUGGCUUUAAAAUUGAAAUAUCUUUUUUAACUCAUCGGUGACCUAUAUUUUAAUAAUUUCCAUAUAAGCUGUACUUAAACUAAAUUAUUUUAAAAUUUGAGCAAUUUCUGUAAUAAAUUUCUUUCUUUUUUUUCGAUAUUACUUUUAUUUCUCCUAUUACUUUAAAAAAAAAAAAAACACCUUUACAAAAAUGUAUGCUUCUUUCGAAGGCAGAUUGUGAGCGCAAAUGAACGGUGACCCCACUUUUUUAUUUUAUUUUUCUGUUAAAUAUAAGAUAAAGUUCAUUUAUAGAAAAAUAUAGAGAAAUCCUAUAUAAAUGAUUUAGACCCGCGAACCCCCUUAA
This 425-nucleotide long non-coding RNA is filed under the name Mytilus galloprovincialis (Mediterranean mussel). The record is from RNAcentral. Lineage: Eukaryota; Metazoa; Mollusca; Bivalvia; Mytilida; Mytilidae.